GUCAAAGAGUAAGACCCUCAAGGUGCUCUUCUCCUGGGAGAUGGCUCUAGUGAAGAAAGCAGUGGUGGAGGCAGCUGUUUCUCUUCCCAUCCCUGCAUCCACUCUCCUGGCCUCUCCUUUUGGGACUCUCUCCACCCACAGAAGGUCCUGGGGCUGAACUGCAGUCCCAGCUCGAGACCCCCAGUAGGAGACCCCAGGCUGCGCUCUACUUAUUCCCACCCCGUGGGGCUCCUUCGAGACACCCGCGCCCUUCCGGGACCCUAGCCCGUCCCUACCUCCAUCCUGGUCUCGAGGGGCGCCCCAGCUAAGCCGGGCAGCGUCCUGGCCGGGACUGGGCAGCAGGGAGUACAGAGUCGCGGGACCGCUCCUCGGGCUGGACCCUUCUCCAGACCAAAGACGGCGCCUGGGGCGGGGAGAGACGGACCCCCCUUCAUGGAGACAGACACACGCUGACUCCGAUUGACCCAGGUCCCCAACUUCCCCUCAGCAUUAACUAGAACGCUCUCCCCUUUCCAGUGGAGGGCGUCCCACCCUUCUUCCCGGCCCUUCUUUUAACCCACUUCCCCUGGGAGUUUCCGGGACCCCUCCCCUCAAUCCUCCCAUCCCCGGGAUCUCGGGAGACUGUUCCUCCCUCUCUGCUCAGCUGACCCUCCACUUGCCCCCAUUUCUGAGGGAGGUAAGUUGGGGGAGAGUAAAUUCUCUCUCCACUCCCUCCUCCCGAGGCUGGAUUUAACCUGGAAAGUGCUUUGAGAAGGCACCUCCUCCCCCACUCCCUCUGUAGUCUAGUCUAGUGGGUCACGGAGCCCCUACCACCCACCCACCUCCAAGUUGCUCAGCUUCGACCAUUCAGAGGAAAGAAGUUAUGUUAUUUGUGUGUGUUAAAAAUGCGUGUGGAGGUUUUUAUGGUUUUGUUUUGUUUUGACUCUAGUAGAGGGAGCAAACGCUUUGCCUUUCAUUUGGCAAGAAGACCUGGAGGGAGAGAGGGCCCUCCCCACCUACACUCCCCUGCUG
This 1011-nucleotide long non-coding RNA is filed under the name Homo sapiens (human). RNAcentral describes it as "HSALNT0188632". Lineage: Eukaryota; Metazoa; Chordata; Mammalia; Primates; Hominidae. The record is from RNAcentral.